RNAcentral lists this ribosomal RNA (254 nucleotides) under uncultured bacterium. RNAcentral's name for it is "partial 16S ribosomal RNA". It matches the Rfam family "Bacterial small subunit ribosomal RNA", at positions 524 to 776 of the family's 1533-position model. The record is from RNAcentral.
UACGUAGGGUGCGAGCGUUGUCCGGAAUUAUUGGGCGUAAAGAGCUUGUAGGUGGUUUGUCGCGUCUGCUGUGAAAAUCCGAGGCUCAACCUCGGACUUGCAGUGGGUACGGGCAGACUAGAGUGUGGUAGGGGAGACUGGAAUUCCUGGUGUAGCGGUGGAAUGCGGCAGAUAUCAGGAGGAACACCGAUGGCGAAGGCAGGUCUCUGGGCCAUUACUGACACUGAGAAGCGAAAGCAUGGGGAGCGAACAGG